RNAcentral lists this ribosomal RNA (325 nucleotides) under uncultured eukaryote. Its description in RNAcentral is "partial 18S ribosomal RNA". It matches the Rfam family "Eukaryotic small subunit ribosomal RNA", at positions 1470 to 1796 of the family's 1831-position model. The record is from RNAcentral.
CCCUUAGAUGUUCUGGGCCGCACGCGCGCUACACUGAUGCAUUCAACGAGCCUAUCCUUGACCGACAGGUCCGGGUAAUCUUUGAAUCUGCAUCGUGACGGGGAUAGAUUAUUGCAAUUAUUAAUCUUCAACGAGGACUGCCUAGUAGGCGCAAGUCAUCAGCUUGCGUCGAUUACGUCCCUGCCCUUUGUACACACCGCCCGUCGCUCCUACCGAUUGGGUGUGCUGGUGAAAUGUUCGGAUCGGCCGUUUGUCGCGGUUUCCGCGUCAUGUGGCUGAGAAGUUCAUUAAACCCUCCCACCUAGAGGAAGGAGAAGUCGUAACA